Molecule: non-coding RNA, 72 nt
Organism: Pangasius djambal
Lineage: Eukaryota; Metazoa; Chordata; Actinopteri; Siluriformes; Pangasiidae
Source: the annotation of a GenBank genome assembly
UCCCUGGAGGACUAGUGGUUAGGCUUUGUUGUUCUCACUGUUGUGGCCUGGGUUCGAUUCCCGGCCACGGAA